UGGGAUAUAGCUUAGUGGUAGAGCAUUUGCCUAGCAUACAUGAGGCCCUGGGUUGAAUCCCAAGUAUAACAA
RNAcentral lists this transfer RNA (72 nucleotides) under Fukomys damarensis (Damara mole-rat). It matches the Rfam family "tRNA". From Rfam's summary of the family: Transfer RNA (tRNA) molecules are approximately 80 nucleotides in length. Their secondary structure includes four short double-helical elements and three loops (D, anti-codon, and T loops). The record is from Rfam by way of RNAcentral. Lineage: Eukaryota; Metazoa; Chordata; Mammalia; Rodentia; Bathyergidae.